AACGAACGCUGGCGGCAGGCCUAACACAUGCAAGUCGAACGCCCUGGCGACAGGGAGUGGCAGACGGGUGAGUAACGCGUGGGAACGUGCCUUUCGGUUCGGAAUAACCCAGGAAACUUGGACUAAUACCGGAUACGUGCGAGAGCAGAAAGAUUUAUCGCCGAAAGAUCGGCCCGCGUCCGAUUAGCUAGUUGGUGAGGUAAAGGCUC
Molecule: ribosomal RNA, 209 nt
Filed under: uncultured bacterium
Lineage: Bacteria
Description: partial 16S ribosomal RNA
Rfam family: Bacterial small subunit ribosomal RNA
Source: RNAcentral